ACUCUCCUGCCUGCGGACCGGCCCAAGUCGUAUCCUGAAAUGUUACUGGGACUGUCCCUUCCUACAUCAAUAACUCCUGUAGAAGAAGGCAACAAAAGUUUUAUUUUUACUUGAAGGUUCCAUUUUUAAAAGGUUGUUCUUGUAAGCUGCUAAGAUCUGAGCUGCGCGUUUCCCCGCGGUAGCUCGCCAGCGUGGGCUGAGGACGGGGCGCGAAAUGGCCUGCGUGGGCCUCCUUCGCUGCUCUCAUGCUACACGGACCCGCCCUGCGUGGGCACUCCCUGCGUGCAAGGGCCUGCCCGCGUGGACGUGCCCUGCGUUCACCCAACCUUCAGGGAUCUGCCCUUGAACGGGCCCUUCGGACGUGGACACUCGUAUACGCCCACCCUGCGUGGGAUUUCGCUGCGUGGACCCAUCCCACGGAGCCUCUUCUCGCGCGACCUCCCUUCUGGACCUCUGGGAAGCAACCCUGGUGGAAAGAAGAAAAACUUGAGCCAGCCUGGGAAGGACCUUACCUUGUGCUGCUAACCAGCAAGAGUGCUGUUCAUACAGCAAAAAAAGGAGGGACUCAUCACACCCGAGUCAAGAAAGUGCCACCCCCUCCAGAGUCAUGGGCCAUAGUCCCAGGGGAAAACCCUACCAAACUAAAGGUAAGAAAAAUUUAAUUCUUUUAAUCUGUUCUAUUAUUCUUUCUUCUUUCCUCAUUCUAUUGCUGACCAUCUAGUUAUUAAUAUAACCAAGUCAAUUUCACCUCAAACUAUUGCAUUUAAUGCUUACCUUGUUAUACCCUGUGAGGACUUGCCAAUUCAAAGACAGCUUUCUACUUCAGAAAAGUACUUCUGUCCCUCCUGACUCUCCUCAGACUAGGCAUUAGUAAACUAGGACCAUUUAAUCUGGGGAGAUUUCGAUAAAGACCCCAGUACCAACCAGGAGUGUUGCCCCCUGAUGUAGAGCUUUCAUGCCAACAUUCUGUGGACCACUAAAGAGCAAGGAUGGACUGCCCCAACCGGUUUUUGUAAUUUCCCUAAAACUAUACAUUCAUUUUACUAGAGGAUCAUAGAAGUUAAAGACUUAAAACACACUUUAGCAAUUAAGACAGGAUACCAAGAUGCAAAUACCUGGUUAAAAUGGAUCAAAUAUUCCAUCUGUACAUUAAACAAAAGCAAUUGUUAUGCUUGUGCACAUGGCAGGCCAGAGGCCCAGAUUGUCCCCUUUCCACUAAGGUGGUCCUCCAGUCGACCAGGUGUGGGCUGCAUGGUAGCUCUUUUCCAGGAUUCUACAGCCUGGAGUAAUAAGUCAUGCCCAGCUCACUCUCUGCUAUAUCCCAAAGUCCCGCACCCUGCAGUUCAGCCCCCGAAGGCCAUCCAGCUUCCAUCUCCCAACACUAAGUUCACUUCGUGUCUCUCAUGACAGGGAGGAAACUUAGCAUUCCUUGGAGACUUGAAAGGAUGCAGUGAGCUUAAGAAUUUUCAAGAGCUUAUCAGUCAGUCAGCCCUUGUUCAUCCCUGAGCGGAUGUGUGGUGGUAUUGUGGUGGACCUUUACUAGGCACUCUGCUGAAUAACUGAAGUGGCACUCGUACUUUAGUCCAGUUGGCUAUCCCUUUCAUCCUGGCAUUUAAUCAACCAGAAGGAAAAAUAAUAAUAAGACACCAUAAAGACCCUUAUGGGUCUUCCAACUCUCAUGUUUAUUUAGACGCAACUGGAGUCCCACGAGGAAUACCAGAUCAAUUUGAAGCUUGAAAUAAAAUAGCUGCAGGAUUUGAGUCAAUAUUUUAGUAGGUGACAGUUAAUAAAAAUGUAGAUUAGAUAAACUACGUCUAUUUACAACCAACAGCAACGAGCUUUUCAUGAAUUAAAAGAAAAACUCAGGUCGGCCCCAUACCUGAGGCUACCUGACCUGACAAAACUCUUUAACUCUAUGUGUCAAAAAAAAAAAAAAAAAAAAAAA
Molecule: long non-coding RNA, 1945 nt
Organism: Macaca mulatta (Rhesus monkey)
Lineage: Eukaryota; Metazoa; Chordata; Mammalia; Primates; Cercopithecidae
Source: Ensembl